RNAcentral lists this transfer RNA (58 nucleotides) under Trichuris sp. TMM5. RNAcentral describes it as "tRNA-Thr". The record is from RNAcentral. Lineage: Eukaryota; Metazoa; Nematoda; Enoplea; Trichinellida; Trichuridae.
GCCUGUUAGUUUAAUGAGUAAAACACAGAUUUUGUAAAUCUGAGAUUAAAGGGCAAAU